GCCCUGGCCCCAGGCUCCUCAUGCCUAAGCCCCAGAAAGAGGAAAGAGCUGGAUCACAGAAGAGGGUCUAGGGGACAGAUU
Molecule: microRNA precursor, 81 nt
Filed under: Felis catus (domestic cat)
Lineage: Eukaryota; Metazoa; Chordata; Mammalia; Carnivora; Felidae
Also listed under: 6 other names
Description: mir-2366 microRNA precursor family
Rfam family: mir-2366 microRNA precursor family
Source: Rfam by way of RNAcentral